AGAGUUUGAUCCUGGCUCAGGAUGAACGCUGGCGGUAUGCUUAACACAUGCAAGUCGAACGGAAUCCUUAGGGAUUUAGUGGCGGACGGGUGAGUAACGCGUGAGAAUCUGCCUUAAGGAUUGGGACAACAGUGGGAAACCGCUGCUAAUACCAAAUAUGCCUUUUAGUGAAACGGGUAAAACCGCCUUAAGAUGAGCUCGCGUCUGAUUAGCUAGUUGGUGUGGUAAGAGCGCACCAAGGCAACGAUCAGUAGCUGGUCUGAGAGGACGACCAGCCACACUGGGACUGAGACACGGCCCAGACUCUUACGGGAGGCAGCAGUGAGGAAUUUUCCGCAAUGGGCGAAAGCCUGACGGAGCAAUACCGCGUGAGGGAGGAAGGCUCUUGGGUUGUAAACCCCUUUUCUCUGGGAAGAAAGUUGUGAAAGCAACCUGACGGUACCAGAGGAAUCAGCAUCGGCUAACUCCGUGCCAGCAGCCGCGGUAAGACGGAGGAUGCAAGCGUUAUCCGGAAUGAUUGGGCGUAAAGCGUCCGCAGGUGGCAGUUCAAGUCUGCUGUCAAAGACCGGGGCUUAACUUCGGAAAGGCAGUGGAAACUGAACAGCUAGAGUAUGGUAGGGGCAGAGGGAAUUCCUGGUGUAGCGGUGAAAUGCGUAGAGAUCAGGAAGAACAUCGGUGGCGAAGGCGCUCUGCUGGACCAUAACUGACACUCAGGGACGAAAGCUAGGGGAGCGAAUGGGAUUAGAUACCCCUGUAGUCC
This 760-nucleotide ribosomal RNA is filed under the name uncultured cyanobacterium. Its description in RNAcentral is "bacterial SSU rRNA". It matches the Rfam family "Bacterial small subunit ribosomal RNA", at positions 8 to 796 of the family's 1533-position model. The record is from RNAcentral. Lineage: Bacteria; Bacillati; Cyanobacteriota.